RNAcentral lists this ribosomal RNA (392 nucleotides) under uncultured bacterium. RNAcentral describes it as "partial 16S ribosomal RNA". It matches the Rfam family "Bacterial small subunit ribosomal RNA", at positions 523 to 918 of the family's 1533-position model. The record is from RNAcentral.
AUACGGAGGAUGCGAGCGUUAUCCGGAUUUAUUGGGUUUAAAGGGAGCGUAGGCGGGAGCUUAAGUCAGCGGUUAAAUGGUGCGGCUCAACCGUGCCCUGCCGUUGAAACUGGGUUUCUUGAGAGUGCAAGAGGCGGACGGAAUUCAUGGUGUCACGGGUGAAUGCUUAGAUAUCAUGAAGAACUCCGAUUGCGAAGGCAGUCCGCUGGGGCACGUCUGACGCUGAUGCUCGAAGGUGCGGGAAUCAAACAGGAUUAGAUACCCUGGUAGUCCGCACGGUAAACGAUGAUUACCCGCUGUCGGCGGUAGACAGUCGGCGGCCAAGCGAAAGCGAUAAGUAAUCCACCUGGGGAGUACGCCGGCAACGGUGAAACUCAAAGGAAUUGACGGGG